This 1119-nucleotide long non-coding RNA is filed under the name Marmota monax (woodchuck). Lineage: Eukaryota; Metazoa; Chordata; Mammalia; Rodentia; Sciuridae. The record is from RNAcentral.
GAACUGGCUUCUGCUUGCUAAAGCAGGUGGACCUCAACUUCCUUUGGCAAGGAAUUUCAGCAAUGGGAUUGAGCUACACCCCCUGAAACCCAUCCUUUGUCUCCUUUGAGUUGAACUUUCACGAAUGUCUUCCCCUCAAUAAACAGAAUGGUCUCAGGCGUGCUCUCUCUUUUUUGCCUGCCUCUCUUGCCUCCCUUGUGGGAGCUGGGGCAGAGAAGCCAUCACUGAACUUCAAGAAAAAGAUACUUUCUGUGUCUGUGUGAUUAUUUAGUGCCAGCCCAGUUCACCUGGAGCAACCCUGACUGAUUUAGUCGAAUGUCCUUACAUCCUUUAAAUAACAAUCCUAGUUCAGCAUUUCAAGGUUUGCUAAAGCAAAUAUUUGGGUUAAUGGCCAUCCAAAAUCCUGAGGAACAACAUCUCAAGGCCACUCACUGAGAAUAUUCACAAAACAAGAUGUAUUUCAUAAUGCAACAUCCCACUGGCUCCCAGAAGCAUCUAAUCCUUUUUUUUUUUUUUAAUGCAGUGCUGGGGAUCAAACUCAUCUAAUUCACUUUAAGACAAUUUUCACCAAAGUAAAUAAGCUCUUUAAUCAAGUAUUGCUUGUUUUAUAAGAAGUGAAGAACUUCCUACCAUUCAACCUAAAUUCCAGUGCUCUGAGGUAUAAAUCAUGAGUAAGUGGAACAUAACUAUACCUAGAAAAGGCACUGUCCAGGGGGCAGUGUCCUGAAAAGGCACAACAAUGAUCUCCAAGGGACUGCUGUUACCCAAAACAGCCACAGCCAGCAUCAUCUCCAAACUACGCCAUACCCUGUGACAACCAGUGUGGCAUUCAUCUGUCCACAGUCUCUCAAAGCAGCUUCUUAAUGAAUUAUCUGAAUUAAAAAUGCAUAACAUUGGGGGGCUGGGGAUGUGGCUCAAGCGGUGACGUGCUCGCCUGGCAUGCGUGCGGCCCGGGUUCGAUCCUCAGCACCACAUACAAACAAAGAUGUUGUGUCCGCCGAAAACUAAAAAAUAAAUAUUAAAAUCCUCUCUCUCUCUCUCUCUCUCUCUCUCUCUCUCUCUUAAAAAAAAUUCUUUAAAAAAAAUGCAUAACAUUAGCACACAAUAUUUGUUGACAUG